This 531-nucleotide long non-coding RNA is filed under the name Dromaius novaehollandiae (emu). RNAcentral's name for it is "lncRNA (ENSDNVG00000017826.1)". The record is from RNAcentral. Lineage: Eukaryota; Metazoa; Chordata; Aves; Casuariiformes; Dromaiidae.
UUCCACCCCAUCAUGGCAGACUGGGCUUACAGGUGAUCAGAGUCACAACUCCCACAUGGGUCACAAAGAUGGGAAUGAGCAGGAAUCAGGAUAAAUAACUCUGACUUCAGCCAAAGGAAAAGCUGGGAAAGGAGGAGAAACAGUGUUUUAUACAUAGAAGCAGGCCAACUGAAAGCACCAUGGCUAAACCAGAGUGAAAUAAAAGCACUUACAUCAUACAGUUUUCCUGCAGUAAAACUCUAAACAUACCAAGGAUUCUUGAAUAUUCCCUUGAGGUUGCUUAUUGGCACCUGCAAAGCAAAAAGAACUCUUUGUAUUGUAUUAAUUAUAAUGUCUCUGUCCCACUAUGCAUAAUGUGAUAGUACUUUCUCACUAUGAGGACUAAGGGGAAAAGUUAGUACUAAUCACCUUCUUUAAAUAACUGUAAUAUUAAUUACCUGAUAUUCCAUAUACAGAGUUUCUGUAGCUUUGCUUGGAAUUAGUUCAGUUGUAUUAAUGAUAAUAAAAUUUCAAUACUUGACUGGGGAAAAU